AAGGGUUUAGCUUAAAUAAAGUGGCUGGUUUGCAUCCAGUUGAUGUGAGUAGUAGUCUUGCAAUCCUUA
Molecule: transfer RNA, 69 nt
Filed under: Ctenomys sociabilis (social tuco-tuco)
Lineage: Eukaryota; Metazoa; Chordata; Mammalia; Rodentia; Ctenomyidae
Also listed under: 2 other names
Description: tRNA-Ala
Rfam family: tRNA
About the family: Transfer RNA (tRNA) molecules are approximately 80 nucleotides in length. Their secondary structure includes four short double-helical elements and three loops (D, anti-codon, and T loops).
Source: RNAcentral